GUACUUUGGUGUAAUUGGUAGCACGACAGACUCAUGAUUUGUUAGAUUAGGUUCGAGUCCUAAAAUGUACU
RNAcentral lists this transfer RNA (71 nucleotides) under Malassezia slooffiae. Its description in RNAcentral is "tRNA-Met". It matches the Rfam family "tRNA". From Rfam's summary of the family: Transfer RNA (tRNA) molecules are approximately 80 nucleotides in length. Lineage: Eukaryota; Fungi; Basidiomycota; Malasseziomycetes; Malasseziales; Malasseziaceae. The record is from RNAcentral.